Molecule: unclassified non-coding RNA, 413 nt
Filed under: Hevea brasiliensis (rubber tree)
Lineage: Eukaryota; Viridiplantae; Streptophyta; Magnoliopsida; Malpighiales; Euphorbiaceae
Source: RNAcentral
AGCAUCAAGACCCACCAUCAGAAUACGCAUCUCUUUCUUAGCAAAGAGUCGGCUGAACAACUUAGCGAAAGACAGCCCCAUCCUUUCACGUCUGCUGAUCCAAACAAUUAAAAGCCAAAAUCAUUAAUGGUCCACCGUCCACCCCAUCACUCCAACAAAGGUAAGAUUGCCAAGGCAAACUAAAUUUAAUCAAGAACGUAAAAGGGACCAUCAUACACAGGUUUGAUAAAAGAAUGCACGAUGUUACAGAAAACAAAACGUCGCAUUCGAGUUAAAAAUGAACGUGAUCAUAUCAACAGCAUAAGUAAUAUAUCUCCACAGAAAAUUAAAAAUAUUGUUUAGACUACGAUUCAAAAUCUUAUAAACAGAAGGAUUCAUAUCACUAAUGAAAGCAUCCUGUAUGAAAUUAAGGA